This is a small nuclear RNA of Suncus etruscus (white-toothed pygmy shrew), 107 nucleotides long. The record is from RefSeq and is a predicted model, not a curated record. NCBI's taxonomy places the organism in Eukaryota, Metazoa, Chordata, Mammalia, Eulipotyphla, Soricidae.
GUGCUUGCUUCGACAGCACAUAUACUAAAAUAGGAACAAUACAGAGAAGAUUAGCAUGGCCCCUGUGCAAGGAUGACAUGCAAAUUUGUGAAGUAUUCCAUAUUUUU